RNAcentral lists this long non-coding RNA (533 nucleotides) under Citrus maxima (pomelo). RNAcentral's name for it is "long non-coding RNA (CMAX_LNC002489)". The record is from RNAcentral. Lineage: Eukaryota; Viridiplantae; Streptophyta; Magnoliopsida; Sapindales; Rutaceae.
CUGGUGAGUUUUUGAAAUCACCUAUACAUUUCAUGAUUCUAUUUGUUGGUUGUACAGAAUUGUAUUGACUCAAUUAGUCUGAGAUCAAGCGUAACAUAUUCUUUUAGAAAUGAUAAAUUGUUUCAAUCAUACUUUUUAAUUGCUCAAAAGAGCUUUUUUUUUGGUUAAAUCCUGAUAUAUUGUGACACUGCCACUAAGGCCUUGGCCUAGUCACCAUGGGAGCUCAAACAUUUCCUCUCCCACAAAUGUGUGUAUGGGUGGAUAUCUUCCCCUAUAUUAGGAGGUGCAGAUUUCUGAGCUGAUCUUGGUUGACGUCUGGGCUGUAAUAAGUGUAUUUAUUUAGUUUUGAGUAGACUUUAGAUUGUAAUAUUUGUAGAUUGUGACCAAUUCUUUAAAAAAUGCAUAAUAUUGUGUUUGAUGUAUUGGAUUGAUUAUGAUUUUAAAAUGUAUUCAAUUGGUUGUAGUUGUGAUUUAAAUGAGCAUAGAGAAUGUUUUGUAAUCUUUUGUUGUCUUUCAUUUACUUGUUUAGGCGA